This 104-nucleotide ribosomal RNA is filed under the name uncultured bacterium. RNAcentral's name for it is "partial 16S ribosomal RNA". The record is from RNAcentral.
CCCGGACCUUGCACACACCGCCCGUCAAGCCAUGGAAGCUGGGUGUACCUAAAGUCGGUAACCGCAAGGAGCCGCUUACCACGGUAGGAUUCAUGACUGGGGUG